GCUUACCACUUUGUGAUUCAUGACUGGGGUGAAGUCGUAACAAGGUAACCGUAGGGGAACCUGCGGUUGGAUCACCUCCUUACCUUAAAGAA
This 92-nucleotide ribosomal RNA is filed under the name Citrobacter koseri. RNAcentral describes it as "partial 16S ribosomal RNA". The stretch from base 1 to 82 matches the Rfam family "Bacterial small subunit ribosomal RNA", at positions 1452 to 1533 of the family's 1533-position model. Lineage: Bacteria; Pseudomonadati; Pseudomonadota; Gammaproteobacteria; Enterobacterales; Enterobacteriaceae. The record is from RNAcentral. RNAcentral also lists the same sequence under 8 other names.